GGUUUGUUGAGUAGGGGAAGAACACAAUCAAGGAAGAGUUUUUCAAGCAAAAAGAAAUCUAAGGCUAGAUCAAAGUUUAGAAUGAAAAAGACUAACUGUUUUGAGUGUAGAGAGCGGAGACACUACAGGAGAGAUUGUCCCAAGUUGAAAAAUUAAAAGGGGAAGCAACCAGAGAGUUUUGCGAAUAUUGUUGACAGGUUUAAUAAUUCUGAUGAUAGUGAUAGUGCU
This 228-nucleotide long non-coding RNA is filed under the name Elaeis guineensis (African oil palm). Its description in RNAcentral is "long non-coding RNA (EGUI_LNC013704)". The record is from RNAcentral. Lineage: Eukaryota; Viridiplantae; Streptophyta; Magnoliopsida; Arecales; Arecaceae.